GCUGAGAUCACCUAAGGGCCGCCAAUAUAUAUAUACUAAUAGACAUCUGUCCCAAUCAACUAAUGUCCAGGUGGUCUGUGAUGCAAACUUAAAAAUUAUGAGUGUUGUUGCAGGUUACCCUGGUGGCUGCCAUGACUCCUUCAUCCUCAGUCAGUCAUCGCUCUUCGAUAAAUUUGAGGACGGACAAAUGCCUGAUGGCUGGCUGUUGGGUAUGUUUAAAAUGUUUUGUGUGUAUGUCUUUUAUCCACAAACUCGAGUUAUGAUUAGGUGAAAGAAUAAUCUAACAUAUGUACUAAUGUGGACUAUAUCUGUUUUUCAGGUGAUGGGGGUUACGGCUGCUACUCUUGGCUCCUUACUCCAUUGUCCCAACCUGAUUCUCCUGCUGAACACAGUUACAAUCAUGCACAUAAGGCUACGCGGAAUGUGAUAGAAAGAUGUUUUGGUGUGCUGAAGUCACGGUUUCGGUGUCUGGAUAAAUCUGCUGGCCUUUUGUUGUAUAGUCCCUCAAAGAUAACUGAGGGGAUCGGGGCUCAUCACUCUGCGAACUCGCCAAUAGUGCCAGUGGUGGCUGGGGUGACACUGCCGAAAGUCGUCGCCUGGGUGGGGAUGAUGGAGCCGCAGAUUCCGAGCCAAGACGCCGUGUCUUACUUGGCCUCCUGGAAUAUGUGACUACACUGAAGUCUUACCUGCAAUCCCAGCCUCAUCCUGACUUGUCUGAGGCCUGUCUGGCCGGCUGGUCUGUGGGACUGUUGAAAAAGUGUACCAAACAUUAUUACCAUGCUUUGUGUAAAAAAAACCCCUGCAAAGCCUUAUUGUACUGUAACCAUCUAUUAGGUAUUGGAUAAACAAAUAAUUUCUGAUUAA
Molecule: long non-coding RNA, 864 nt
Organism: Pseudophryne corroboree (corroboree frog)
Lineage: Eukaryota; Metazoa; Chordata; Amphibia; Anura; Myobatrachidae
Exons: 3
Source: RefSeq, a predicted model, not a curated record